GCCAGGUGUGGUGGUGCACACCUGUAAUCCCAGUGACUCAGGAGGCUGAGGCAGGAGGCUUGCAGGUUCUAAACAACCUCAGCAACUUAGUGAAGACCUAAGCAACUUGUGAGAUCCUGUCCCAA
RNAcentral lists this small RNA (125 nucleotides) under Marmota monax (woodchuck). The record is from RNAcentral. Lineage: Eukaryota; Metazoa; Chordata; Mammalia; Rodentia; Sciuridae.